Molecule: ribosomal RNA, 253 nt
Filed under: uncultured bacterium
Lineage: Bacteria
Description: partial 16S ribosomal RNA
Rfam family: Bacterial small subunit ribosomal RNA
Source: RNAcentral
UACAGAGGUCUCAAGCGUUGUUCGGAUUCAUUGGGCGUAAAGGGUGCGUAGGCGGCGCGGUAAGUCGGGUGUGAAAUUUCGGAGCUUAACUCCGAAACUGCAUUCGAUACUGCCGUGCUUGAGGACUGGAGAGGAGACUGGAAUUUACGGUGUAGCGGUGAAAUGCGUAGAUAUCAGGAGGAACACCGGUGGCGAAGGCGGGUCUCUGGGCCGUAACUGACGCUGAGGAGCGAAAGCGUGGGGAGCAAACAGG